This 226-nucleotide long non-coding RNA is filed under the name Vigna radiata. RNAcentral describes it as "long non-coding RNA (VRAD_LNC001864)". Lineage: Eukaryota; Viridiplantae; Streptophyta; Magnoliopsida; Fabales; Fabaceae. The record is from RNAcentral.
CUCAAGUUAAUUUUGUUAAUUCUCUUAAUAUGAAUCUUUCUUUAUCUUCUCAUAUUUUUUUAAUAUUGAUAAAUUCGUUCGAUUAAUACGCAUAAAUUUGUUAGUCAAUAACCAAAUUUAGUAUAUAUGGUUUUUCGAAAUAGUUAGCUAGUAAUUUUUCAUAAACUCAAAAUCAAAGGCAACUAAAGAUAAGGUAUAUCUAUGAUCGAAAGUUCUUGGUAUUUUC